AGCUGGCCAAGAGUCCGCAGGAUGCAGUGGACGAAGGUGUUGGGGCUGGGGCUGGGGGCUGCUGCCCUCUUGGGGCUGGGGAUCAUCCUUGGCCACUUUGCCAUCCCCAAAAAAGCCAACUCACCGGCCCCCCAGGACCUGGACCUGGAGAUCCUGGAGACCGUCAUGGAGCAGCUGGAUGCCCACAGGAUCCGGGAGAACCUCAGGUGAGAGGUGGGGCCAUCUGCUCCUCCGUUUGCCAGAGGCCCCCUCCCUGAUGCUGGCCCUGCCCCUCCCUCUGCCCACCCUGCAGAGAACUCUCCAGGGAGCCACACCUGGCCUCCAGCCCUCGGGAUGAGGACCUGGUGCAGCUGCUGCUGCAGCGCUGGAAGGACCCAGAGUCAGGCCUGGACUCGGCCGAGGCCUCCACGUACGAAGUGCUGCUGUCCUUCCCUAGCCAGGAGCAGCCCAACGUCGUGGACAUCGUGGGCCCCACUGGGGGCAUCAUCCACUCCUGCCACCGGACUGAGGAGAACGUGACCGGGGAGCAAGGGGGGCCAGAUGUGGUACAACCCUAUGCUGCCUAUGCUCCUUCUGGAACCCCACAGGGCCUCCUCGUCUAUGCCAACCGGGGCGCGGAAGAAGACUUUAAGGAGCUACAGACUCAGGGCAUCAAACUUGAAGGCACCAUCGCCCUGACUCGCUAUGGGGGUGUAGGGCGUGGGGCCAAGGCUGUGAACGCUGCCAAGCACGGGAUAGCCGGGGUGCUGGUGUACACAGACCCUGCUGACAUCAACGAUGGGCUGAGCUCACCCGACGAAACCUUUCCCAACUCCUGGUACCUGCCCCCCUCAGGAGUGGAGCGAGGCUCCUACUACGAGUAUUUUGGGGACCCUCUGACUCCCUACCUUCCAGCCGUCCCCUCUUCCUUCCGCGUGGACCUUGCCAAUGUCUCCGGAUUUCCCCCAAUUCCUACACAGCCCAUUGGCUUCCAGGAUGCAAGAGACCUGCUCUGGGCCUCUUCCUCCUCCCCAGUAACCUCAACGGAACUUUGGCCCCAGCCACCUGGCAGGGAGCACUGGGCUGCCACUACAGGUUGGGUCCCGGCUUCCGGGCUGACGGAGACUUCCCAGCAGACAGCCAGGUGAAUGUGAGCGUCUACAACCGCCUGGAGCUGAGGAACUCUUCCAACGUCCUGGGCAUCAUCCGUGGGGCUGUGGAGCCUGAUCGCUACGUGCUGUAUGGGAACCACCGAGACAGCUGGGUGCACGGGGCUGUGGACCCCAGCAGUGGCACCGCCAUCCUCCUGGAGCUCUCCCGUGUCCUGGGGACCCUGCUGAAGAAGGGCACCUGGCGUCCUCGCAGAUCAAUCGUGUUUGCGAGCUGGGGGGCUGAGGAGUUUGGGCUCAUUGGCUCCACGGAAUUCACAGAAGAGUUCUUCAACAAGCUGCAGGAGCGCACGGUGGCCUACAUCAACGUGGACAUCUCGGUGUUUGCCAACGCUACCCUUAGGGUGCAGGGGACGCCCCCUGUCCAGAGUGUCGUCUUCUCUGCAACCAAAGAGAUCCGCUCACCAGGCCCUGGCGACCUGAGCAUCUACGACAACUGGAUCCGGUACUUCAACCGCAGCAGCCCGGUGUACGGCCUGGUCCCCAGCUUGGGUUCUCUGGGUGCUGGCAGCGACUAUGCACCCUUCAUUCACUUCCUGGGCAUCUCCUCCAUGGACAUCGCCUAUACGUAUGACCGGAGCAAGACUUCAGCCAGGAUCUACCCCACCUACCAUACAGCCUUUGACACCUUUGACUAUGUGGACAAGUUUUUGGACCCAGGCUUCAGCAGCCAUCAGGCUGUGGCCCGGACAGCGGGGAGUGUGAUUCUCCGGCUCAGUGACAGCUUCUUCCUGCCCCUCAAAGUCAGUGACUACAGUGAGACACUCCGCAGCUUCCUGCAGGCAGCCCAGCAAGAUCUCGGGGCCCUGCUGGAGCAGCACAGCAUCAGCCUGGGUAGGCACAGCCCUGACCCUGAGGUAUGGGGAGCCCUGCACCCCCAGGACUGAGCCACUGCUUGUUCCUCACAGGGCCUCUGGUGACUGCAGUGGAGAAGUUUGAGGCAGAAGCUGCAGCCUUGGGCCAACGCAUAUCAACACUGCAGAAGGGCAGCCCUGACCCCCUGCAGGUCCGGAUGCUCAAUGACCAGUUGAUGCUCUUGGAACGGACCUUUCUGAACCCUAGAGCCUUCCCAGAGGAACGCUACUACAGCCAUGUGCUCUGGGCACCUCGCACGGGCUCCGUAGUCACAUUCCCGGGCCUAUCCAAUGCCUGCUCCAGGGCCAGGGACACAGCUUCUGGAUCUGAAGCUUGGGCUGAGGUCCAGAGACAGCUCAGCAUUGUGGUGACAGCCCUGGAGGGUGCGGCAGCCACCCUGAGGCCUGUGGCUGACCUCUGACCCCAGCCCUCUUUCUUCAGCCCUCCCUUUACUCC
This 2459-nucleotide small RNA is filed under the name Pan troglodytes (chimpanzee). RNAcentral describes it as "retained intron". Lineage: Eukaryota; Metazoa; Chordata; Mammalia; Primates; Hominidae. The record is from RNAcentral.